RNAcentral lists this small RNA (1029 nucleotides) under Cenococcum sp. SB38. RNAcentral's name for it is "eukaryotic LSU rRNA". The stretch from base 673 to 831 matches the Rfam family "5.8S ribosomal RNA". Lineage: Eukaryota; Fungi; Ascomycota; Dothideomycetes; Gloniales; Gloniaceae. The record is from RNAcentral.
ACUUGCUAGGUGAUUCCUUCCGCGGCUACCCAACGCUGGACCUUUGCUUAGGAGCUUACACCCCACCCGGGUUACCUUACUAUUGUUGCUUUGGCGGGCCGUGGCCUCCACUGCGGGCUCUGCUCGUGUGUGCCCGCCAGAGGACCAAACUCUGAAUGUUAGUGAUGUCUGACUACUAUCUAAUAGUUAAAACUUUGGACCACGGAUCUUACACUUCUUGGAUACAGAUGAAACGCAUACCUCUGCGAUUUUUUUGGUGAAUAUACCAAAUUCCAAGAAUCAUCGAAUCUUUGAACGCCGGUUGCCCCAUGUGAGGAACCUUCGGGCCGCCUGUUCGAGGGUGGAUAACCCCUCACUCUGCUUAAGGAAUUGGGGCACCCUUACUAAACUCACUCGGUGAGUACGCUGGUCCCAGUUGGCUCUUAACGGAGUACAUACUCCCGCUAUAGAGGGGCUGCGGGGGCUCGCCAUAGCCUCCAAUUUUUUACAGCUCGACCUCGUAUCCGGUAGGGAUACCCGCUGAACUUAUUAUAUCAAUAGACGGAGGAACAAACCGCGAACUUCUAAACCUUUGACGAUUGACUCAUGUUGCCUCGGCGGGUUCUCCCGCCAGAGGAUACGUCAAAACUCCUGUUUUUAACGGUGUUGUCUGAGCUACAAGCAACGAAUCAAAACUUUCAACAACGGAUCUCUUGGUUCUGGCAUCGAUGAAGAACGCAGCGAAAUGCGAUAAGUAGUGGGGAAUUGCAGAUUCAGUGAAUCAUCGAAUCUUUGAACGCACAUUGCGGCCCCCUUGGGUAUCCCGGGGGGGCAUGCCUGUUCGAGCCGUCAUUUCACCCACUCCAGGCCUUGGCUUGGUGGUUGGGGCGGACGUCCCCUUUUGGGGGACGGCGGCCUCGGAAACGGCUCGGGCGAGCGUGGCACCGGCCUUAGCGGUAGCAGAAUCUUUCGGCUUUCAAGGUCGGGGCCCCGGUCUGGCUGGGAGGACCUUACUUCGGCAGGGUGAACUCGGGAUCAGGGCAGGGAUAC